AUGGACUCCCUCUCCCUGUACGAGAUCUCCUGCUUCGCCGCUGGCUUUGCCGGCAACCUCUUCGCCUUCGCUCUCUUCCUGUCCCCAGUGCCGACCUUCAAGAGGAUCCUGAAGGCCAAGUCCACGGAGCAGUUCGACGGGCUCCCCUACCUGCUCUCCCUGCUCAACUGCUUCAUCUGCCUCUGGUAUGGCCUCCCCUGGGUCUCCGAUGGCCGGCUGCUCGUCGCCACCGUCAACGGCACCGGCGCCGCGUUCCAGCUCGCCUACAUUUCUCUCUUCUUCAUCUACGCCGACAGCAGAAAGACCAGGCUGAGGAUGGUAGGGCUCCUGGUUCUCCUGGUCUGCGCGUUCGCCCUCGUCGCGCACGCGAGCAUCGCCUUCUUCGACCAGCCGACUCGGCAGCAGUUCGUCGGCGCCGUGAGCAUGGCGUCGCUCAUCUGCAUGUUUGCUUCCCCGCUGGCCGUCAUGGGAGUGGUGAUCAGGACGGAGUGCGUGGAGUUCAUGCCCUUCUACCUCUCGCUCUCUACGCUGCUGAUGAGCGCCUCUUUCGCGGCAUACGGAGUGCUGCUGCGUGAUCUCUUCAUCUACCUGCCCAACGGGCUUGGAGUUGUCCUGGGAGCAACGCAGUUGACGCUCUACGCUUACUACAGCCGCAAAUGGAGAUGCAAGGAUACGUCUGCGCCGUUGCUUGCCUGA
This 696-nucleotide ribosomal RNA is filed under the name Triticum aestivum (bread wheat). RNAcentral's name for it is "partial small subunit ribosomal RNA". Lineage: Eukaryota; Viridiplantae; Streptophyta; Magnoliopsida; Poales; Poaceae. The record is from RNAcentral.